Molecule: ribosomal RNA, 274 nt
Filed under: uncultured prokaryote
Description: partial 16S ribosomal RNA
Rfam family: Bacterial small subunit ribosomal RNA
Source: RNAcentral
UACGUAGGGGCGAGCGUUGUCCGGAAUGAUUGGGCGUAAAGGGCGCGUAGGCGGCUGUGUAAGUCAGUAGUGGAAGUCCAGCUUUUAAGGUUGGAAGUGCUAUUGAAACUGUGCAGCUUGAGUGCAGGAGAGGUUAUCGGAAUUCCCGGUGUAGCGGUGGAAUCCGUAGAGAUCGGGAGGAACACCAGUGGCGAAGGCGGGUAACUGGACUGCAACUGACGCUGAGGCGCGAAAGUGUGGGGAGCAAACAGGAUUAGAUACCCGCGUAGUCCCU